GACGAACGCUGGCGGCGUGCCUAAUACAUGCAAGUAGAACGCACAGUUUAUACCGUAGCUUGCUACACCAUAGACUGUGAGUUGCGAACGGGUGAGUAACGCGUAGGUAACCUGCCUGGUAGCGGGGGAUAACUAUUGGAAACGAUAGCUAAUACCGCAUAAUAUUAAUUAUUGCAUGAUAAUUAAUUGAAAGGUGCAAUUGCACCACUACUAGAUGGACCUGCGUUGUAUUAGCUAGUAGGUGAGGUAACGGCUCACCUAGGCGACGAUACAUAGCCGACCGGAGAGGGUGGGCGGCCAGCCUGGGAGGGAGACACGGCCCAGACGGCUUCGGGAGGCAGCAGUAGGGAAACUUCGGCAAUGGACGAAAGACUGACCGAGCAACGCCGAGGGAGUGAAGAAGGUUUUCGGAUCGGAAAGCUCUGUUGUAAGAGAAGAACGGGUGUGAGAGUGGAAAGUUCACACUGUGACGGUAUCUUACCAGAAAGGGACGGCUAACUACGUG
Molecule: ribosomal RNA, 505 nt
Filed under: uncultured bacterium
Lineage: Bacteria
Description: partial 16S ribosomal RNA
Rfam family: Bacterial small subunit ribosomal RNA
Source: RNAcentral